GACGGAGGGUGCAAACGUUGUUCGGAAUCACUGGGCGUAAAGGGCGCGCAGGCGGACCCGCAAGUCGGGAGUGAAAUCUCGGGGCUCAACCCCGAGCCUGCUUCCGAAACUACGAGUCUUGAGGACCGGAGAGGAAAGUGGAAUUCCCAGUGUAGCGGUGGAAUGCGUAGAUAUUGGGAAGAACACCAGUGGCGAAGGCGACUUUCUGGACGGUUCCUGACGCUGAGGCGCGAAAGCUAGGGGAGCAAACAGG
This 253-nucleotide unclassified non-coding RNA is filed under the name uncultured Gemmatimonadota bacterium. Its description in RNAcentral is "uncultured Gemmatimonadetes bacterium contains 16S-23S intergenic spacer region". It matches the Rfam family "Bacterial small subunit ribosomal RNA", at positions 524 to 776 of the family's 1533-position model. The record is from RNAcentral. Lineage: Bacteria; Pseudomonadati; Gemmatimonadota.